Molecule: ribosomal RNA, 253 nt
Filed under: uncultured bacterium
Lineage: Bacteria
Description: partial 16S ribosomal RNA
Rfam family: Bacterial small subunit ribosomal RNA
Source: RNAcentral
UACGUAGGGGGCUAGCGUUGUCCGGAUUUAUUGGGCGUAAAGAGCGUGUAGGCGGCCAUGUAGGUCUGCUGUGAAAACUCGAGGCUCAACCUCGAGACGUCGGCGGAAACCAUCUGGCUAGAGUCCGGAAGAGGAGAGUGGAAUUCCUGGUGUAGCGGUGAAAUGCGCAGAUAUCAGGAAGAACACCCGUGGCUAAGGCGGCUCUCUAGUACGGUACUGACGCUGAGACGCGAAAGCGUGGGGAGCGAACAGG